RNAcentral lists this ribosomal RNA (530 nucleotides) under uncultured bacterium. Its description in RNAcentral is "bacterial SSU rRNA". It matches the Rfam family "Bacterial small subunit ribosomal RNA", at positions 778 to 1308 of the family's 1533-position model. The record is from RNAcentral.
AAUGAUACCCAGGUAGUCCACGCCGUAAACGAUGUCGACUUGGAGGUUGUUCCCUUGAGGAGUGGCUUCCGGAGCUAACGCGUUAAGUCGACCGCCUGGGGAGUACGGCCGCAAGGUUAAAACUCAAAUGAAUUGACGGGGGCCCGCACAAGCGGUGGAGCAUGUGGUUUAAUUCGAUGCAACGCGAAGAACCUUACCUACUCUUGACAUCCAGAGAACUUAGCAGAGAUGCUUUGGUGCCUUCGGGAACUCUGAGACAGGUGCUGCAUGGCUGUCGUCAGCUCGUGUUGUGAAAUGUUGGGUUAAGUCCCGCAACGAGCGCAACCCUUAUCCUUUGUUGCCAGCGGUUCGGCCGGGAACUCAAAGGAGACUGCCAGUGAUAAACUGGAGGAAGGUGGGGAUGACGUCAAGUCAUCAUGGCCCUUACGAGUAGGGCUACACACGUGCUACAAUGGCGUAUACAAAGAGAAGCGACCUCGCGAGAGCAAGCGGACCUCAUAAAGUACGUCGUAGUCCGGAUUGGAGUCUGC